GGGCCGGUAGCUCAAUCGGAAGAGCAGGAGACUUUUAAUCUCUGUUUGCAUCGGGAUCGAAACCCGGGCGGCCCA
This 75-nucleotide transfer RNA is filed under the name Actinomycetota bacterium. RNAcentral describes it as "tRNA-Lys". It matches the Rfam family "tRNA". Rfam says of the family: Transfer RNA (tRNA) molecules are approximately 80 nucleotides in length. Their secondary structure includes four short double-helical elements and three loops (D, anti-codon, and T loops). Further hydrogen bonds mediate the characteristic L-shaped molecular structure. tRNAs have two regions of fundamental functional importance: the anti-codon, which is responsible for specific mRNA codon recognition, and the 3' end, to which the tRNAs corresponding amino acid is attached (by aminoacyl-tRNA synthetases). tRNAs cope with the degeneracy of the genetic code in two manners: having more than one tRNA (with a specific anti-codon) for a particular amino acid; and 'wobble' base-pairing, i.e. permitting non-standard base-pairing at the 3rd anti-codon position. The record is from RNAcentral. Lineage: Bacteria; Bacillati; Actinomycetota.